UAAAGCCUUUCCUCAAGCUUGGACAAAAAUAUCUUCAGUUCCUGAAAAGUCUUUUCACUAUGGCAGGAGGUUUUAAGAAGUAAUUCAUAUUUAUGUUCCUUUCAGAGAAAUGUUCUUGGGAAAUGACAUGUACUAUGGUACUGGAAACUUUAUCUUCCUGUCAGAGCUGAUGUGGUAAAGUCAACUGAACAAGAUAAUAACAUAUCUCUUGUAAAGGUGGAAGGGAAAUAGCUUCCUUGACUGAAGAUUGAAAUGAAGGCCCUGACACUAAGGCACGGCAGAAAUCAGGGGAGAAAGGAGAAGUGUUUUGAACAGAAGUUGCAUAUGGAGGAGUCAUACACCAGCUGAGGCCAGCCUAGAAUCUGAGAUGUGGCUAGAUUCUGAUGAGGAACAAAGACCAUAGACUUAAUUCUGUAUGUAGAUAACAUGAGAGGGAAUUCACAGAUAUGAUUAAGUCAAUCAAAAGUCUUGGGAUGUCCUACAAAUAAACAUCUGGAACUCAUUGGUUCUAUAAUUUUU
This 519-nucleotide long non-coding RNA is filed under the name Parus major (Great Tit). Its description in RNAcentral is "lncRNA (ENSPMJG00000001046.1)". Lineage: Eukaryota; Metazoa; Chordata; Aves; Passeriformes; Paridae. The record is from RNAcentral.